This 438-nucleotide ribosomal RNA is filed under the name Ornithodoros normandi. Its description in RNAcentral is "partial 16S ribosomal RNA". Lineage: Eukaryota; Metazoa; Arthropoda; Arachnida; Ixodida; Argasidae. The record is from RNAcentral.
UUGCUGUGGUAUUUUGACUAUACAAAGGUAUUGUAAUAAGGUUUUAAAUGGACUCUAAGAGAAGGGCUUAACAAUGACUGACUUUUCUUUUUUUAGGAUUGGAAGUUGAUAUAAAAAUGAAAAAGUUUUUAUGUAAAAUUGGGACAAGAAGACCCUAUGAAUUUUUCAUAAGUUUAGUUAUAUAUUUAUUUAAGAAAUUAGAUAUAAUUGGAUGAGUGUUGGUUGGGGCGACUAUUAAAGCUUAGGAAUCUUUAAAUGAAAAAUAAGAAGAUCCGCUAUUAGCGAAAAUAUGAACAAAAUACUCUAGGGAUAACAGCGUAAUUAUUUUGGAUAGUUCAAAUAGAUAAAAUAGUUUGCGACCUCGAUGUUGGAUUAAGAUACUCAUAUAAUGCAGGGUUAUAUGGAGGAGUUUGCUCAACUUUUAAAAUCUUACAUGAU